GGCUCAGGAUGAACGCUGGCGGCGUGCUUAACACAUGCAAGUCGAACGAUGAACCUCCUUCGGGAGGGGAUUAGUGGCGAACGGGUGAGUAACACGUGGGCAAUCUGCCCUUCACUCUGGGACAAGCCCUGGAAACGGGGUCUAAUACCGGAUACGACACGGGGUCGCAUGACCUCCGUGUGGAAAGCUCCGGCGGUGAAGGAUGAGCCCGCGGCCUAUCAGCUUGUUGGUGGGGUGAUGGCCUACCAAGGCGACGACGGGUAGCCGGCCUGAGAGGGCGACCGGCCACACUGGGACUGAGACACGGCCCAGACUCCUACGGGAGGCAGCAGUGGGGAAUAUUGCACAAUGGGCGAAAGCCUGAUGCAGCGACGCCGCGUGAGGGAUGACGGCCUUCGGGUUGUAAACCUCUUUCAGCAGGGAAGAAGCGAGAGUGACGGUACCUGCAGAAGAAGCGCCGGCUAACUACGUGCCAGCAGCCGCGGUAAUACGUAGGGCGCAAGCGUUGUCCGGAAUUAUUGGGCGUAAAGAGCUCGUAGGCGGCUUGUCGCGUCGGAUGUGAAAGCCCGGGGCUUAACCCCGGGUCUGCAUUCGAUACGGGCAGGCUAGAGUUCGGUAGGGGAGAUCGGAAUUCCUGGUGUAGCGGUGAAAUGCGCAGAUAUCAGGAGGAACACCGGUGGCGAAGGCGGAUCUCUGGGCCGAUACUGACGCNGAGAGCGAAA
RNAcentral lists this ribosomal RNA (722 nucleotides) under Streptomyces chattanoogensis. RNAcentral's name for it is "bacterial SSU rRNA". It matches the Rfam family "Bacterial small subunit ribosomal RNA", at positions 21 to 758 of the family's 1533-position model. The record is from RNAcentral. Lineage: Bacteria; Bacillati; Actinomycetota; Actinomycetes; Kitasatosporales; Streptomycetaceae.